CAAUUGGUUUGGCCAAGGAAGUAGAAUCAUUGUUACGUCAAGGGAUAAACAUUUACUAACUUCUCAUACCAUAAAUUGUGUGUAUGAAGUUAAAACUUUACAAGAUGACAAAGCACGAGACCUAUGACGACCCAGACCCGAGGCAGUACGGAGGGACGGACUAAGAUCACCUCGGCAGUACGUGGGCAAGGCUAAGAGCAUUUCUCCUGUCCCACAUCGCUUAGGGGGAGAGUCCUAGGCUAGUUUAUAAUGGCUUGGGCCUCUCUAAUCUGUGUAACGUGUUUCACGUACGCUUCCGCUGCGCUGAAAACAAAGCCGUGAGGGAGGACGGGCCGGUGGGCCAUGCCUCCAAAGUAGACAAUAUUAUGGCUUGGGAGAGGGAAGGCUUGAGGGAUGGCCCUAUGUCCCUGCGUAAUGCGUUUUAAGUCCGUGAGGACUCAGUGUCCAAAGCAAACAAUAUUACAUAAUGGGGCUCGGGUCAUUACAAAUGGUAUUGAAGCAGACUCCUGACCACGUGUGGGGCCACAGCGAGGGCACUGUGCCUUAAGAGGGGGAGAAUGUGAUGACCCAAACCCGGGGCAGUACAGAGGGACGGACUAAGAUCGCCUCAGCAGUACGCGGGCAAGGCUAAGGGCAUUUCUCUUGUCCCACAUCACUUAGGGUGAGAGUCCUGGGCUAAUUUAUAAUAACUUGGGCCCCUCUAAUCUGUGUAAUGCAUUUCACGUAUGCUUCCACUACGCUAAAAACAAAGCCGUGAGGGAGGAUGGGCCGGUGGGCCGUGCCUCCAAAGCGGACAAUAUUAUGGCUUGGGAGAGGGAAGGCCCGAGGGAUGGCUCUCUGCCUUUGCGGAACGCGUUUUAAAGCCGUGAGGACUCAGUGUCCAAAGCGGACAAUAUUACACAGUAGGGCUUGGGUCAUUACAAGACCUUUUUGGUCAAUGUCCAAAGCGGACAAUAUUACAUAGUAGGGCCCGGGUCAUUACAAGACCUUUUUGGUCAGCACGCCUUUACAAAUAGCAAUGAAGUAGAAAUAAGAAGGGAUCUCAUAGAUGGAGCACUGCAUUAUGCCAACGGCCUUCCGUUAGCCCUGGAAGUGUUGGGCUCAUUCUUAUGUGGAAGAAAGGAACCUGCAUGGGAAAGUGCAUUGCAUAAACUCUCCAAAAUUCCUGAACCAACUAUCAAUCAAGUUCUCAAGAUAAGCUUCGAUGGAUUAGACGACAAUGAGAGGGAGAUUUUCCUCGAUAUUGCUUGUUUCUUUAAGGGAAAGAGAAUAGAAUACAUCCAGGAAGUUCUUGACAGCUGUG
Molecule: long non-coding RNA, 1303 nt
Filed under: Eucalyptus grandis
Lineage: Eukaryota; Viridiplantae; Streptophyta; Magnoliopsida; Myrtales; Myrtaceae
Description: long non-coding RNA (EGRA_LNC003116)
Source: RNAcentral